AAGCGCAGGACACGCUCUUAACUCGCAGGCGGGACCAGGGACAGUCGGUGCCCAGGCCGGGGCCGCUGAGCGUGUCACUCGGACACCGAAGGGGGGGGUCUCCGUCUAAUUAGGGAGAGAUUGUGUCCAGGGCUUGACGUGGAACAUUCACUUACAGAGCUGUACAUUUUUAGAUUGAAGUGGCUUUUAAAGAUCGCCCCGUCCAACGCCCUCACUUUAUUUUUCAGAAGAUUUUAUGUAUUUAUUCAUGAGACACCGAGAGAGAGGGAGGCGGAGACCCAGGCAGAGGGACAAGCAGGCUCCCCGUGGGGCCCGAUGCGGGACUCGAUCCCGGGGCCUGGGGUCACGCCCUGGGCCCAAGGGGAGCCCCCACGGCCCCCAACAGCGUUGCAGUGACAUCGGCCUUGGCACUUGGGUCACUGGUGAGGAUGGGCCAACACGUGGCGGCGCAGGACAGAGAGCGGCGGAUCCCAGCGAUCCGGUGGCUUAGGACCUGCUUGCUGCUGGGCGACGUCAGUGACACUUGUCCGGGCUGUGGAUUCUCUUGGAGUCCUGGAUCGUGGGAGCAAGACCCUGAGGACUAACGUCCAGAUCACAGCAAGAGGAUCCCCCCUUUGCUGAAUUAUCAUCUGCAGAUUGAGGUCAACGGUGAACCUUCAGGACACAUCGUCGUGAGGUCUCUUGGCACCAGUUCAUAUCCACAGUCAGGAUUGCAGAUCUAAGCUAAUAAGCUUAGCUUUGGACAACACACAGAUUGUGUGUGUGUGUGAGAGAGAGAGCCUGUAAUUUAUGACCACUUCUCAGAAAUGAGACCACUGCACACUUGCUCUACAGCGUAGCUUUGAUAAGCACUGCUGCUCUUAUCACGUGGCCUCUUUUGGGUAUAAUGUGAUCUCAGAAGAAUGAAGAAGGGCAUACAACAUCAAAAAGCAGACAAAACAGCUUUUGUCUUCAUAUAUUAGCAUGUUUCUUAAUCUCUAUAAAUAAUUUUUCGACUGGCAUAAAAUAUACUGAGUUAAGCUGGGUAUUCUUAGGAAAUGAGGUCAGGAAUUGGGGUAAAGACAAAGAAAGAAAAGGAAGGAAGGAAGGAAGGAAGGAAGAAGAAAGAGGGAAAGGAAAGGAAAGGAAAGGAAAGGAAAGGAAAGGAAAGGAAAGGAAUUUGUUUCUUUUUAUUGUGCAAUUAUCCACAAUCACAUUAACUCAUGCCAUUUAUUUCUUCAGUCAUUCAAUCAAUAUUUAUUGAACGGACUGAUCCAGCAGUGAACAAAGCUUAUGUUUUGAACUCUUGGGGUUUAUGUUUUUAGUGGGAGAGGCAGGAAGGAAAUAGAAAGUUGACCAGGUGCUAGUAAACACUAGGAGGAAAAGUAAGCCGGAGAAAGGUACCUGGCUUUUAGGUAUUUUAGGUAUUUCGGUCGCAUCCUCGCCGCAGGAGGAUUGUGACCCGAGCUGGAGCUGCAAGCGGCGCUAAGUGAAAUAAACAAAUGAAUAGCGCGAGCUCUGAAGGGGGGACUGUUUGCUUCACAAAGGUGUGGGCUUGGUGUGUAAAGGCGAGGGGAGAGGGCCAGGUUGGCUGCAGAGAGUGAGGGAGGGAACGUGGGGGUGAGAUGGGGCAAGUGGGCGCGGGACUUGGCGCAGACCCUGCAGAGUAGCGGGGGCCAAUCGUGCCUUGCCCUCUGGGCCAAGGGAAAGGUUAAGGGUCUUGCUGAAGAACAUGUGAAGUCAUGGAGGAUUUGGAGUAGAGGAAAACUCAGCUGUACUAUGUGCAAGAAAACACCACUUGUAAGUGCUCAGUAGUGUGGCUAUGUCCGUAUCCUUGUACAGCAGAUCUCUGGCUGUUUGUCACCUUGCAAGAUUGAAACUUUAUACUCAUUGAACAGCGACUCCCAUUUGCCCCCUCCCCUAGCCCUUGGCAACCAGUGUUCUACGUUAUUUUUCUGUGAGUUUGACUAUUUUAGAUGCCCCCUUCUAAAUGGAAUCAUCCAGUACUGGUCAUUUUGUGACAGGUUGAUUUCACUCUGAUGUGACUUUUAUAUUUUUGACUUAAUUACGAUGUCAGCUCUAAUGCUGUAGCUUCGAUGUGGAGGGAAUGUAGACGAAGGGAAGGGCAAAGGAGGAAGCAGAGAUACAAGUUUUGAAGCUGUUUUUGUCCUACAGGCAAUAGAUGAUGGUGCGUUGAACAUGGGCUGAAAGAGUGGAGGUAGAUAGACGCUGGGUAGAUUUUUAAGGUAACGCCUGGGAGAUUUGCUGAUAUUUUGGAUGCGUUAGGUGACAGAAAGAGGAAAAGGACAUGAAUUAUAGGGUGAAUCAUCCAAAUGAUUUAAUCAUCAAUCCCUUCCCCGUCAUGGGGGAUCAUCCUUGUAAGACCUCCUCAAAUGCUGCGCUUCUUCUCUAAACACGUGCUGAUGCCCAAUCAGCCGAUUAGAUGGCUCAGGGUUAUAGUGUGAUCUUCCGUUUGUAUAUAGGUGCUUUUUAGUAGAGGCGUGGAUGGCAUAAAACCUAAGGUGUGGGUAUGUCAGGAGAAGGGGUUCGGGAGAUCUGGGCGGGUUGGGCAACGAGGAACAUUUCCGGGAAGAGGACAAGACUGUCUGAUGGUCCGUCGGCUCCAGGGCACCAAGUAUUUCAGAACAGUCUCGAUGCUGUGCUGUAAACUGCCUCCUUCGGAGGUCUGCUCAGUGCUGCGUGAGUGUGGGAUGAGUGGUAGGGACUCGAGACCUCGUGAAACCGAAGACCUGGAGUGAGUAGGGAGGCUGAAAGGGAAGAAUCAUACUUUUUCAUUUUUAGAUUCUAGAGGCAAAAGGAAAAAAGAAUUCAAUAAACAGAUUUUUUUUUUAAGCUAGAUGUAUAGAGUAGCCGUUGAGGGAUGUCUCUAGGUGUUUAGAAGUCAUUGCUUCCUGGCUACAACUACGUAAUGAAAAACCACUUAUGGACAGCGUGAGAUUUUUUUACAAAUUUGGUUGUUUGUGGCAGGCCGCUUCCCUUAGGGCCGCUCUCCGAGGUCUGCUGCAGGGACACGGGGGCUCCCAGGCCGUGCUUCUCUUGCUAAUGUUGGGGCCUGUAGUUCCUUGACCGACAAGAGGAGAGGCUGAGUGUGUCGAGGAGCCGCAUGUUGGCCACGUGUACUUCUUCUGACCGUUCUUAAAGCUCGGCAGGCGGAUUUCUGUAAGUAGCCGAGAAGGCACCCAGUGCAGUUGCACUUUGCCGGACCCAGUCUGUAGGACUGACAGCGCGCCCUGCACAGAUUCCUCCAGUAGAUAAUUAGAUCAGUGUAACGCAAGCGCUGCAUGAAUUAACAUUUGCACUUGGGUAUGAAUAUUCAGGGCUGCGGUGCCUUCGGUGGUGUGAGUUGUGCCAGGAUGCGCAGCGGUGCCUGAUAGGUGCUUGUACGGUAUUAAUUAGUACAGAAUGGCACCAAUUAGAGGGUCUGGAAACAUCCCUGGAGUCGGAGACGAUAUGCGCGUGGGUGGUGCUUCUCCUCUUCCCGUAAACUCUAACCCAGACAACAGAUUGCCUGCUUUAACUAGUCCUGUGCUUCAGUUUUGAUGCGGAUUUUACGUCACGGUGCAGAAACUACUAAGUUUCCCGGCCUUUCCUGGAAUGAUGCCAUCUGCUCGUUUCUCCACUCUCUCUGAGAUUUUUCACCUGGAAGAUUAACCCGAAAGAUCAUAUGCUCUACAUGUUAUAAAUAAAUAAUUGAAUAAAUAAAUAAAUAAAAGAAUCAUUGGGCCACUGAAACCUGCUUUUCAUAGUGAUAAAAAUUGCUCUGGCACAGCUUGCUGGAGCAUCAGGUGUUGGUUCAAAACUUUAUUUGCAUUUAUUUGGAAGUUUCAAAGAACUUUAUGCUAUUAUCAAGAUCAUCUCCGAGACAAUGAAAACCUCCUCAUGCCUACCUCCAGGGUAAACCUGGUCAGGGGCCUCGGACGUGGAGAGAGGGAUUGGAUAGCUGAGAACGGAUCAAGUUAGUAUCUCUGUAUGAUGCUUUUAAAAGGGGAAUAUGAUUCUAAAAAUACCUCAAAAGCAAAAUUUUCUGAAAACUGGAAGAGGUUGUGUAACGUGGCGGUAAACGGAGGGAACUCUGAGGCCAGAAUGGCUGGGCAGGAGCCCAGCUGUCCCUUAGCUCGUGAGCUGCGUGACCUGGGGUAAGUGACCUCACCUUCAGUUCUGUCACCUGUGCGCGCUCGCGGCUCAUGAGUGCACGGAAAGCAUAGACAGCUUGAAAGGGUGUUUGCUGAAGUGUGUAGAACACUGAAUGUACACUUGAAAAUAUUUCCAGUGCUUGUCCCUGGCCAGAGGUGACCACGGUUCGCCCAGUGGAGCCAGCUUCCGAGGGCCUUGGCUUCCCCGAGCCGCCGGACCGCCGCGUGCUGUGAAGGCCAGGGGGCUCCAGCUGGAGGCCAGCAUCACUCUGCUCCUAAAUUGUUCUCUUUAGGCUUAUAUGUGCAAGCAGAAAAAAAAAAAUUUUUUCUCUCCCAAGUAUAAAUCAGCUAGGAUUUUCCUAGUUUCCUUGCUUUCUGACUUUAAUUUUUCCACUUUGCAAAUUGAAGUUAUGAAAUAUAAAGCAAGAUUAGCAUCUUAUGAAUUUCCAGAAUUUCCUAUAAAUAAUUAGGGUACUGCAUAUAUUUCAAUAUAUGCAAUAUAUUACAGUCUGCAAUGUUGGAGAAGUAGGAAAUAUAUUAUUAAAGAGAAAUAUGAGAUUUCAUAAUCAGCUGUUUUAAAAUUUAGGAUUUGUAAUUGCCUUACUGUUGGGGGCCUGAAAAAAAUCUACUGGGUGCUCUGCUCUGCCGACUUCAUUAAAAUGCCAGGUUAAGGAGUAAUUGUUUUUUUUUUUUUUAAAGAUUUUAUUUAUUUAUUCAUGAGAGACAGAGAGAGAGAGAGAGGGAGAGAGAGAGAGGCAGAGACACAGGCAGAGGGAGAAGCAGGCUCCAUGCAGGGAGCCGAACACGGGACUCGAUCCCAGGUCUCCAGGAUCACACCCUGGGCAGAAGGCAGGGCUAAACUGCUGAGCCACCCAGGGAUCCCAGGAGUAAUUAUUUUUGUAGGAAACUUUAUUGAAGUCAUACAUUUUGGCAUGAUACUGCCUUGAGUAUUUUAAGGGGAUAAUUUUCUCCUAAGAAUCGAUGAUCUUACAGUUAAAUUUCAACAUCUAAAAAAACCCAAAAGAGUGAUCAACAAAAAGAAUUCAAAAAGUUGGAACAAAUGAAGUCACCCAUUUGUUUCUCACCAAAAAUAUGUGCCUUUUCCUGCUGCUCCGGUUUCAUUAACACUAAGCGGGAGAACAGAUAGUAUAAUUGACAGUGAAGUCUGUUACUUAAGAUUCUGCCUUUCACAUGGGCGUGUGGGAUGUGCGUUAUGCAUUAGUAGUUGUCACUAUUGUUCUUAAGUGCACAUUCCCCAGCAUCUAGCAUUGGCUUCCCAGCUCUCAUUUUGGCUUUUUUAUUUUUCUCUGCAAUUUAUUUCCCAAGGUGCGUCCUCAUGCCUAAGUUAAAAGUUGUUUUUUUAAAGAAACUCAAGGCGCAAACGUGCAGCUGAAACUAUCUUUACCCAAGAUCUACUUGAAAAGUUCUGCGUCUGAAACUUUGAGAAGUUUUAUGGAGCAUGAACGACCGAGUCGAAAAUUAUGUGAGAAGGUUACAAAAUAACAUACUAAUUUCCCAUCGAAUCGCCUUAUGUUUUCCUGUAGAAGAUGUAGAGGUUGAAGCAGGUACAUCUUCCAGACCUGAGACCAGAAGCACGUCGCGCUGCGAGGAACCCACGAGGCCCCGGGACACGGCCU
Molecule: long non-coding RNA, 5770 nt
Organism: Canis lupus familiaris (dog)
Lineage: Eukaryota; Metazoa; Chordata; Mammalia; Carnivora; Canidae
Exons: 3
Source: RefSeq, a predicted model, not a curated record